CGUAGCGGUAAAAAUGUUUCAGCUUUGAUAGAGCGCAGCGCCGGUAACGAGGAGCGCGAGGACUCGUCGAGUCACUUCUCCUGGGUGCUGAAGCAGCUCGUGCAGGAGAACAUACCGGGCCUGCCACCGGGUGGCGGGCUGGCUGCCAAGCAAUCACUGCUGGAUAAAAUAUACAGGGAGUUCUAUCCGGACCACAUCGACAGCUCGGAGACGUUCGACUGUCAGACGGAACUGGCCGACGCGUUCAGCGCUAACUAACGCAUAACCUUACGUUCUACACUAACUCACGGGACGAGCUCGCACACAGCGCGCCACCACACGACACCCGCGACAUCUGUGUCGCCGUCAAAUUACUAUUGUUUCAUUAGUUUGGUAAGUAACUUUAGGAAACUUUCUUUUGUACUAGUGACACUCACUAAAUUAAUUGUAAUUUCAACAUAUCAAACCAAAGCUUAUUUUCAAAUAUAAGGACCAGGGAAGAUAUAGAAUACGUUUUUAUUUUCGCUUUCCCAUCAUCAGAGUGUACUCGCCGAGUGUGCGGUUUCGUCCCAAAAUUAGCUGAAUACAUCAUACUAGAAUAAAUUAAAUGGAAUUCUAGUUACAUUACUUUAGAAUUUUGAACGUUGGUAACAUUUCAUUUUGUACAUAACUGUCUCGAAUGUUGGGUAAUGUAGUUGGAAUUUUGUUUGAUUCAGUCAAUACUUGGUGCUUCGGCUGUGUUGACGCGUCGGUUCUAAUGUACGCGGGAGACCCCUUAUUAUAUCUAGUAUGUAACUUUAUUUCUUGUAUUGACUAUAACACGCAGGUGACGUGUUCAGAGAAAACGUAAAUAAAUUAAGCCCUGUCUCUGUCUAAUAAAAUUCCUCGUGUCUUUAUCACGCGACAUCUUCAAUUGUGAGUGAACUGACUACUGAACAGAGCCGAAGCAUAUUGGUAUCCUAAAAUGCAUAUUAUACUAUGUAAUACUCUUUAGGCUGUGGUAUGGCCUUCAGAAUAAAUGUUUAUUAUAAUAAAACCUUCUUCGUUUUGCCUCACCACAGCCCCUCACUUGUAUCACACGGCACAAAAUUCAUUAUUUCCAGCCAUGUUAUACUGUUACCCAGCCGGAUUGAAUAUACCCAUCCCUACGGAACUUUCAUUUGUACUGCAAACAUUUAUUUUUGUCGCGUUACAAUUUUAUUUUGUGUAGCUUAGAUUAUUUUGUUUCGUGUUAACAUUGGCCAUUCGUGAAUGUCAUAAUAUUAGAUGUAUAAUAUUAGAUUUUCGAUUGGAUGUAAUAGAAGUCUACGAUACAGUUUCCUGUGUGAGCGGUUCAAUGUUUUACUUUAUGUUCUGGCGCUUAACAUUUUGUUAAGAACUUUACACACGAUUUAUCUAAACUUGGUGUCUAGAGAAAAUUAUUUGUCAGUAGCAAAAUUUCCUAAAUGUCAGUGUUAAGCUUGUAAUAGCUAAUUGAAAAUGGCCAGUCGGAUUUAGUGUAAUCUUAUGUUCCAUUUCACAUGAAAGCCUAAGUAAAAUUGGUUAAAUAAUUUCUCAAUUCUAAUAAUAAAUAUCUAGUUUCAUUUUUGUACAUAUUUUUUUCUUUAUUACAACAUACAUAGUCAUUAUCCAAAACGUCAAGUAACCUUUAUUGAUUUAAAAGUAUAAAGUAGAGUUAUUAAUCGGGAAUUGGAAUAUGGGGUACUAUUAAUUGUUAGUUUUUUAUUUCUUAAAAAUUAUUGUACUUCGUUUCGUGUUACAGAAAGUAUGAAAUUAGAUUUAAUCGCUUUUUAAAAGUUACGCGUUAUCUAAAGAAAUAUUGGGUAUGCUUUUAAAUUUUUGCUUCGUACUUAGAUGAGGAACGUAACUAAUCAGUUGAUACGCGUAGUCUGUUGCCGUACAAUAUAACUAAUUAGACCGAAUUCCAUUUUGUCAUAUAUUGUUGUUACCAAAUUCUAUGUGUCCUAUUCAUUUCUGAUAUUCACCUCUUGUAAAUAAAAGAGAAUAGAAAAAAUACUUUUGUACCUGUUUGUGCGGUUUAGCUUGUAACUAACUAAUUGUGAGGAGUUUAUCGUGUCGGUACUCGUGGAAAUACAUAUAACGUCAUCACAAUCCUCGUUUUAUAUCGAUUGUAUUAGAUUUAGUUGCCGCUUUGCGUUCUGUUGUAAGUCGCGAUGAGAAUUAUUACUUAUUGCUGUAUUAUUGUAAUGCGGUCUCAAAGUGAUCGACCAAAUUCAUAGUAACAUUAAGUAUAUUGGAGUAUCUAAAAUUAAAUAUGUUGUAUGUAUUUCCAGCGCCUGAUACAAUAAUGUAACUAAAUAGUUUUUACUGAACAAAAAUAUUUCAAAGGUUUUCAAAUGUGACGUAGGAGGCAUUGUUUUAGUACUUAUAUCUUACGAUUGAAGUAAUAACAACCUAAUAUUAUAAUACUAUUAUGUUUCUAUUUACAAAUGGUACUUGUGUACUCCUUCAACAAUGUCUUCUCGCCCUCGACCCUUUUGCAGUCGGGGCAGGUAUGAGAAUAGUACAUUUGUAAAUUCGAACGAUCUUAAUUGAAAAUUCAAACCAUAUCUAAAUUAGUUUAAUAUAUUACGAAAUAAAAAUACAGAAAUUGUUUCCUAGAUAUAAAAUAAUAAUUAUCUACUUUAUUGGUGGUAGCAAAGCUAUUGCGACUUUAUGAUUAUUUUAAUCUUGUGCAAGACAGCAGAAUACGUAUUAGUAAUAUUGUCCUACUAAGUAUAGCCUGUAGUACAUUGUCAAGGACGUGGUCACACGCCGCCGCUGAAGUUCUCGGGUGAAUAAUAUGGUCGUGUUAUGCUGCCUUGCGUUAGUGAUUCGCUAUGACCCCAAAUUUGUCAUUUGAUAUUGCUUCCAUCAAAUUAUUUUCUAUAUUUUUACCAAAAUAUUUUUAUUACCCUUUUCAACCCAUUGUCGAGGUUAACGUUGCGUUCUUGUAUUGUCAUAUAAAUUGUGUUUUUGUACUGUGUUUUAGAUUUGAAUGCCAAUUCAAAAUGUGCCUUUGAUACUAGCUUAUCGAAUGUCCCGUCGACACGGACGUUGGUGUCAUGGGCCCCCUUCUGUCCUCACGCGACGGUUGCGUUCCACUUGAUUAUCCAUUAUUUUCUUAAUUAAACCAAAUAUUAAUGUUAGACAGUGGGUUUUGAAUUGGAUUUUAAUGUCCAUCCGGGACGUGUAUCAUCUGUUGUUUUUUAUUUGCUUUCGGACGAAAGUCGACGUCUCACAGUGUGUCUCGUUAUAUCUAGUAGACGCUUGAACAAUAAAUACCUGUACCUUGACAACAUAUUUUUUAUUUUUCUUUUAUUUUGUUAGGCCCCGCUUUUGUGGUUUUAGCAGUGUGUAGCUUUUUAGGGUAUAGCUGUUAAUUGCUGGCUGCCUAACCCCAUUUUGACUUGAACACAGAGUUUAUUACUAUGACUGAAAUACUCAAAAUGUAUUCAAGUCUGCCUACAAGAAUCUCGAAAUGUCAAGUCUAAUGGACACACCCUGCAAUUAAGGCCUACUCGCUCUAUUUUGCCCUAGUACACGUUUUAAUAUUCUUUACAUUAUUAUUUUGGCGUAGACAAUAUAAAGCUUACUUAUCUGUGUACAGUAAGUGGACUCGAAAGUGUAAUUUGUAUGAUAUUAAAGUUUAUAGUGUCAAUAAGGGAUAUUUUUGAAUGGAUUCUUAACUAUCUACACACACACCUUCGGAGUAGCUUAGUGUUUAGGUAACAUGGAAAUAAAUUAUUUAUAAUGUGUA
Non-coding RNA from Spodoptera litura, 3739 nucleotides. Lineage: Eukaryota; Metazoa; Arthropoda; Insecta; Lepidoptera; Noctuidae. The record is from RefSeq and is a predicted model, not a curated record.